This 529-nucleotide long non-coding RNA is filed under the name Phoenix dactylifera (date palm). RNAcentral describes it as "long non-coding RNA (PDAC_LNC018990)". Lineage: Eukaryota; Viridiplantae; Streptophyta; Magnoliopsida; Arecales; Arecaceae. The record is from RNAcentral.
AGAACAAUUACAAUGCGUCUGCCAAAUUGACUUCUAGGGCAUACUUCUAACAAGGGGCUCAAUCAUCAACCUGGCUCAUAAUGGUUUAGAGUCUUUAGACUUUAGACAUACUAUUACAAAUACCAACCGAGCUGAUUCAGGUUUUCAAGUGCUAGGUUCCCAAAUCUGUCCAAAGACAUCACAACUCAGCGUUUCCCAUCUAGAUGGUCAGGAUGGAGACAACGUAUAUCAGGUUUUGAAACCAUGCCUUUUCCCAUGCAUUUAAAUUCAGUUUUAUAUGACAAACUAAAAUAAGCGUAUAUUUCAGUCCUCAUUGUAAAGUUUAUCCCAAGGUGCACUGAAUCACUAAGGUCUCUUGAAGCUAUGGACAAGGUGCAAAGCAAGAUGUGCGCUCUCAUAAAGCACAGAAAAUAUAUCAAAUGAAUGAAUUUAUGAUGUUCAAGAUAUAUGAUAAUUAAAAUGAUACAAAAUAAACAUGCACAGACACACACAGUACACAGAAAUGCAGCAUAUGGUUGUCACAAUAGAA